CUUAUUAGCCAAAUGCACAGCAUUUGCAGCGGCUGCUAUAGCGAAGAUGUGCCACUCAAACUAGUUUUAGUUCAGUUUUCUUCAUUCAACGAGCAAGUUUGGUAGAAAGCGUUGGUUGGCGCAUUUAUUAGACCAGCACGCUAGUGUGUCGUCGUCGUAGUUAUUAUCGCGGUCACUGUGCUAGUAAACGAAAUUAAGGCAAUUGGCACUUGGAUAAAUGUGUGGAGUGCUAGGGCUCGUGCGGUUGAGUUAUUUCAUAACAAUUAAAAAAAAACGCAUGAAUUCUACUAUUUUAUGAAAUAUGCAACAAAAGUUUACGAGCCGAUAAGUUUCUCACAAAGUAAAUGCAAACUUUCUGCAAGGAAAGUUUAAAAGCAUUUACCUACUUGCAGCAAGGAAAAAAAAGACGAAAUUUUCUUCACAUACAUAUAUUUCUUGUAUAGUUGUUUAUUGUUACGUGAAUGCGUUGCGUUUUGUAGGUGUUUGCGUGUAAAAGAAUGCGGGUCGUGCACAAAUACAUGCAUGCAUGCAUGAGUAUAUGACUGUAUUUGUGUUGAAUUCGAUGAGUGUGGUUUGAGUCAUACCUGAAAAAAUAGUCGAAGAAAAAACAAAAAGUCACAAAAGCAGCAGCAGAUUUUGUAGUAAAUCGAGUAAACAAAAAAAUAAUUGCAGUGUGCAAUACGAACUUUUUUGCAGAAUUUAAAUAAAUUAUUGAACAAGUCGAAAAUUAAAAGAAAUUAAUUACAAAAGAAUUAAGUUAGCAAACACCGGAAGUGGCGAAGCCGUUAAGAAAACGUAAUAAAUGUGUGUUUGUUUGUGGGAAAACAAAACUGAGUGGAAUACUUGGUUGCAGCAACGCAGUUUCCUGCCUAUUCUCAUAUCUUUGUUGGUGUAGGUCAAUAACUUGCUAAGGCGUAAAGAUACUCGAAUUCAGAAGAUAAUGCGAAAGUAGCAGAGGCACAAAGAAAGUUCAGUAGCAACAGCAAAAUUGGCUUAAUUCGACUUAUCAAACGAUCACUAAUUGAAGCAGUUAUAUUUAAAUAUUAGUGACAUAGAAUAGUGAAGAAAAUAAGUAAACAUUAGCUAUUCCAACCAGCACAACAACAAUACGGCAAUCGUAGCCGGGUGCACAGCCAGAAAAGAUAACAAAGGCAAAUACCUAGUGGAGGAAGUAGAAGGCAGCGUAGAAAAAGUGGUAGCAAACAGCAAAACCAACGAGUUGUUUACACGCACACAAAUGCAUUUGUUGUACAUACAUACAAACAUAAGUACAUAUUUCUUUUUCCACUUUACUCGCAUUCUCUACUUGGCUGUUGGCUGUUGGCUGUCUGGACAAGACGAAUGAAUACCACCUUUCCGGUUUGGUUGGCAGCAGAAGUGUUUGGAAGCGUGUGCAGGCAAAAAGCAGGUUUUCGAACAGUGCAAGGCGCAGUGCAAAAGAUAAUAAAAGUACAUAAAUAAAAACUAAAAAAAUUACCUGAAAAUAAAAAUUGAGAGAUCAAAUGUAACGGGCAGCGAGUAGCUGUCGCUGUUUUGUGAGAAAGAAUUGCGCUGGAAAUACAAGAAAAUUAAAUUAUAACAAUUUAACAAUUGAGUGUAAGAAAAUUAAUAAAUUAAAAAAAUAGCUAAAAUGCGUAAAUAACGCACUGCCUAUUGAACGUGUGUUUGUAGUGCAGCAGAUUCGAGUGCAACAAAAUAAUUAACUAAAAUUGAAUAAAAACAAAAAAAAAACGUCAAGCUGUAACUGAUCUACGCAUUUGCUUGCAAACUUAAAAAACCAACGAAAGUUUUUAACCAAAAGUGUUUUGUCGCAAUUGUGUGCCCGCAAAGUUGUUCAACGAAUUUGCACAGUUUCCUCGAGUCGGUUUAUUUAAUUUUUCUUGUGCCACCACAAGACCACAACAACAUCUCUACUUCAAUGCAAAGCCACUCGCAGGUCGCACCACAACACUUUGUAGCAGUAAAAUUAAGCAAAUAACAAAAAUAAAAAAAAGGCAGACAUUGUAAAAACUUCUGACUCUCGUCCGCAAGCUGCAGCAGCAGCAACUACUUUUGGACAUAAGCACAAUUGUUAGCCGGAAAUGCCAGCGUGCUAAGUAACUUGCAACUCGUCAACUCCUUUGUGUGCUUUUUGGCUUGGCUACUAUUGGAUGCAAUUACUCAGUCAGUCACUCACUUACCCAGCCAGUCCUUUCACAUUGCCACAGUGCGAUUUUGUGCGUUCUUGGAACUUUGAGUCAUACGAUUUUACCCCCCCGCAAUUAUUUAUGUGCACUCGUUUUGUUGGUUGGGGCAUAAUAAAUAAACGCGACAACUACAUACUACAUACAUACAUACGUAACGGAAGCUGCAGCAUUUGCAACAUUUCUUCAUCCUCUGGAUAAAUAGUGGACUGCUUUUAACGCAGCAAUUCCACUUUGUAUAUUUUCUGUCCCCAAAUUUUUAAUGGAAUAAUUAUGUCAUGGGAUCGUGUACGCGACGACACUUUAUGCUGUCAACAUGCCUGCUGCAAAUGAUAACAAUCAUCGAACGCCAAGUAUUCGAUUUUCUCGGAUACAUGUGGGCGCCCAUAUUGGUCAAUUUCUUUCACAUAAUAUUCAUCAUAUUGGGAUUUUAUGGAGCAUAUCAUUUUAGAAUAAAAUAUAUAAUAACCUAUUUAGUAUGGAGCUUCAUUUGGAUUGGUUGGAAUGCGUUUCUGAUAUGCUUUUACCUGAAUGUAGGCAUAUUGGAUCGGGACAGCGAUCUGCUCAAUAUGGGCACCGGUAGCGUCUCCUGGUUCGAGGUGAACGGUUAUGGUUGCAAGCCAACAUAUCCAGUGAAUAUCACCUCUGACGAUCCAUUUCGUCCCAUACGUCCGGAACGUGUGGAUGAUUGCUUAUUAGAUUAUACUAUAGUCGAAGUAGUACAAUCGGGUGUGCAAUGUGCUUUAGCGUUACUUGGUAUUUUAGGCGCCAUAUUAAUAAGUUACAUAUUCCUCGAUGAAGAUGACAGAUUCGAUUUCGUGAAUGGCGACGCCAAGAGUCCCCAGCACACGGUGGUCCAUCCAAUGUACGUGAGCUACAGCAGCAUACCGACCUCGGCAAGCGCUAGCGCCACAUUGCUCUCAAACAAGCAUCACAACAAUCACCAAGCACUUAACAACAAUAACAACCACCACCAAAUUCAUCCGCAACAACAGCAACUGCAACUGCAGCAGCAGCUCAGUCAUCAUCAGCAACCAAAUAAUUUUAACAGUAACACAUUUCUAAUACACACGAACAGCAUCAGCAACAACAGCCAUAGCCAUAGCCGUAGUCAUAGUCAUAAUCAUAGUCAGAGUCAGAGUCAAAGCAACAAUAGUCGCAGCCGCAGCCGCAGCCGCAGCAAUAGCCAAAGUGGUGGGGUUGGUGGCGGUGGCAUUGGCAAUGGCGGCGGUGGCGCGGCGAGAAAGGGUCGUGGCGGCGGCGGUGGUGGCGGCGGGGGCGGCGAUGGCAACUGCAACUCGCUCAGCGCAAGCAAAACGAGUACACUGACGCGCAUUCUUUACAGCCCGAAGAGUAGCAAUAAGAUCGGCUCGUCUACGGGCAACACCAUACUCCCCGUAGAUAUGUUGCAGCGGCAGCAAUCGCUACCACAAACGCAUACCGUGACGUCAUUAGGCGGUGGCGGCGGGCAGCACUACUAUGACGACAGCACUGCCAAAGCGGAUCAGCUGUACACGAACAGCAAUCGACGGCAAUUCUUGAAUGGUACGACAUAUCAGCAGCACCAACAGCAGCAGCAGCAACAACAAAAUGCUGGCACACCAAACUCCUCAACGCACGACAACACCACAUCGUCGCUCUCGUAUGCUUCGCUGCAGAAUUCCAAUUUGAAUUUGACACAGAGCUUGCGUGGCGGCCAUGGUGGUGGUGGGUUUGGCUACACGGGCACGGUUGGUGGUGGCAAUGGCAUGUGUGCGGGUGUGGUGGGUUCUAGCUCGGGCGGUUUUGGUCGUGGCGGUGGCGGUGGCGGGGGCAUGACCGCCGCCUCGUCGCAAGCCACGCUCAGUCCGCUUAGCAAUAGCCAAUUUAGUCUCAGCAAUAGUAUCAACAAUAAUUAUAGCAACCAUAGUGGCAGCACCGCCAACAACAACAACCACACCAAUUACAGCAAUGUCUUAAAUAACCAUACUAACUAUGUAAAUAACAAUAACGGUAGCAUGGGUAGCGGCGUUGGUGGCGGUCACUUCGCGCGCAUUCACGCUAAACCCAAGCCGCCCAAGUCGACGAGCUACAGCAGCUUCAUCAACAACGGCAGCGCGGCGAAUCUCACUAAUGGUGUCGGCAUCGGCGUCGGUGGCGGCGGCAGCGGCUGCGGCAGCGCUGGGGGUUCCAUGACCAAUAUCCAUCGUCCAGACAUCAAGUAUACGCAAAUGUCCAACGAGCGCCUGUCGCGCAACUUGGAGGAGGGUCUAGAGGACGACAAUUUCUCGCUGCAGAAUUUCAAAACCGAUGACGGUAUUACCUAUGUACCCUUCCAGAAACCAACGCCAGGCGCACUCUUCGUCGGCCAGAAUAACAAUCCCUCGUAUGUGUCGUUGAACUCAUUUGGAGGCACGCAGAUGUCGCCCAACAACAAUGCUAGUCCAAAUACGAUUAACAACAAUGCUUUACCGCAAUUCACGCGCAGCAUUUCUCAGUUGGCGCCACCACCACCGCCACCGCCACCGGCUCUCCAAGAAGGAGAGAUACUUUUAGAGCGCGGCGCUGUACUACAACCCGCCUACAACUAUCAGCCACAUGCACAACAACAGCAAAUGCUGUUGCAGUCACAGGCUGCACAAGGCGCGCAGCAACAGCAACAGCCACUAAUGAAUCCUGCCAAUCGUUUUCUCUACCAACAAAACGGCCUACCAUUCCAUCCAGCCUACAAUAAGCCCAUUCCAGUGCCACUACCGGUGCCCACGCAUACGUCGCCGCCCAUGUCUGCGUCAUAUCAUCACCACAUGAGCCCAGUCGCCAAACAACCGCCACGCCCAACAAACAUUCCAUUACCCACCAUUCCGCCACAUUCAUUCGACACGCCCAUUUCACCCUCGGAGGUUACACCUCCACCACCUCCUGCGCCACGUCCACACAUUUUCCAGCCACGUUCCGGCCAUGCGCCCUACCCCGAUCUCUCACCCGAGGUGACCGAGAAAUAUGCCAUGCCCACACAGUACGUACCGCGCUCACCGGUCGCUUCGCGUAUUGCGCGUCGUCAGCGCCAACAACAACAGACGUCGCAUAAUUAUCACCACCAGCAGUCGGCGCUGCCGGCGACGCAUCACGUGAAUACGUCAGCAAACUUUUGCGAUCAAGUGCGUGAUGCGCCACCUGGCUAUAUAGUGGACGCAGGCUUCAGCAUUGUGCGCGCAAAAAGCUAUGACCGCCUGGCCUCGUCGUCGUCGGGUUCCGUGCGACGCGAUGCGAAAGGCGAAGCACAGUCGAAGCAGGCGCAAGUCAAUGCCGAAGCAGCGCCGCAUGUAAAUAGGCGCAGUGGUCGUCGUGAUGCCGCCGCACGCGCGCGUCCACGAUCAUAUUGCAAUUCGAUGUCUGGUGGUGAGGGCGUGAUACGCGGUAGCUUGGUCUAUGAGCGCGAUUUCGUGGUCGAGAGUGGAGUUAAUGGUGCUGAUGGCGUUGGUGGUAGUGGCGCAGGUGAGGGAGGUGGACAGUUUGUUGGUGGUGAUCAGUUGGCAUAGGCAGAGGCUGGGAAAGUGAGUAGUACAGUAUUGGAGGCACAAAAGCUGCGAACUACCAGCGAUCGUACACGGUAUUGAGACUCAUAGAUUACGAUUGCUGAUUUGAAUGCUCUCAUUUGCGGAAAAGUGGUGGUUAAAUGGUUGUUGAAGCUUCUUCUUUAUCUAACUCACUCUCUCACGUAGCUGCUAAACUAUGUGCGGCCUCUCAAUCGAACAUGAAAAAUUUAAUCAUGCUCUCAAACAUGCAAGCUCUCUACUAAAUCGUUUAUUUAACGCGCGCCAGCCCACUUCGUGUCACCGUGGCGCCGUCGCGCCGUUAAAUGUUGCUUGCGCUGAAGUUGCUGUUGCUACUAUCGACCAGGGCGAUGUUGCUGCAAUACAUAUAUUGCUAAGUGAAUAUAAAUUUGCCACAGCAAACGGCUUAAAAGAUGUAUGUAAAUGUCAAGCGAAUUCCUUGAAAAAUUAAAUAUUAAGAAAACGUUAAUCAAUUUAAUGGCAUGCAAAUGUUUGCAAAGAAUGCAAGUGAAAAAAUUUGAAAUUCAAUGUUGUGUACUAAAAAUGUGUUAAAGAAAAACGGAAAUGAAAAAUGUUCCAAAAUAUUUGGUGUUGUUAGUUAGUUUGUGUAUUAGAAUUUAUGUUCUUAACCUGCAUACGAAUACAUACUUACAACACACACGUAUACAUACUUAUACACUUGUUUGUAUUGUAAAUUGAUGAUGUAAAUUAUACUAUAUACAUAAAAUGUAUUAUUAUUUAACGAACACACAUACUUAUUUAGUUAUAUGUAUGUAUGAAUAUCCUUGUACAUAAUAUUGUUUUUUUUUUUUUAGUACAACAUAAAAUAACUUGUAAUUCUUAUAACAAUACUGGUAUGGGUAUUCGAUUUGUUUUGAACGAAUUUGGAGUUUAUACUAUGAAGGUAUAAUAGAAUUUGAAUAGAAAUCUCACAAAACUGGAUACACAAAUCACGAUUAAUAAGUAGCUUAGCUAAACACAAAAUUAGUAGGGUUUGAGCGCAUAUGACGGUGCUGGCAACAUGUAUCGGGCGACGGCAUGUUGCUAGCGCUGGCGUCGAGGAGAAUAUGUUGGUAGAGAAGGUGGUGGGCGUACGUGGCAAUUAACAAAUCACAUGAGGGAUUUAUUGAGUUAAAUCGAGAAUGAGAUUAAUAAAGAUCGGUGCAAAAUAUCGCGAAAGAGAGUGAAGUGAGAUCAAGGUAAUUAAAGAGAAAAGGGAAAAUAAAUACAUGGCAAAGAAAAAUGAGAACGUUGGGACCGAAGUGAUAAGUAGAAGGAGAAAAAUAUACAGACAAAGACAUGUUUACAACCUAAAGUACGGGCAUAGAAAGAGACUCAGAUACGGAAUAAAAAAAAAAAACAAAUAAAAUAAAAAUAAAAAUACAGUUAUCUAAAGAAACAGAUAUAACAUGCAGGUUCAGACAAAAGAUAAAGCUCAAAUUUCAUAAAGAGAUGAAGAUAACAAAAAUGAAGAGAUAAUGACAAGCAGGUGCAUCAGUAUCAAAGAAACGAUAACGAUAAAGAUAAGAUUAAAGACAAAGAAAUAAAGAUUAAAAAUUAUAAAGAAAUUAAAGGUACAAUUAAAAUUAAAGAUUAAGCUGGAGAUAUAAAGAUUAAAAUAAAGAUGUAAAUAUAUAGACAAAGAUGAACCUAAGGAUAAAGCUGAACAUAAAGAAAACGAUAAACAUAAUAAUAAAGACAAACACAAAAAUAAAGACAAAGAUACAGAUACACACGCGCGUUCGGGUACAGUGAAAAGGUUAGGAACCAACAUUAUAGUGAAAGAAGGAAAGAAGAAAAGAUUAAUAACAACUAAAACUUUGCAAUAUAUUUUUAAUUUUGAAUCGCUUUCAUGAACAUGAAACGCUGUCCAUAAAAUUGUGCAUCGAUAUGAUCAGAAGCUGAUUAGAUAUAGCCAUGUCCGUCUGUCUGUCUGCCCGUCUGAUGGAAAUCAUCAAGGUGGGCCCACAAUAAGUUAUAGCUCCCAUAUAUGUACAUAUAUAGCUGAUUGUUCAUACUUGAGCUUUUGUGAUACUUACAACGCCUACAUUUAGGUAGUCAAAUCAUGAAUUUUUGUGAACUAUUCCACCUUACAAUACCUUUUGGAAAAAUAUGAAGACGAUCGGUCAGCUAAGGUCUUGCUUUAAAAAGCAUUAGACGAAAUGCAAUUAUCAGAACCAUUCAAUCGGCUCUUGUUUGAACUCUUAUAGCAUAAAACAAAGGGCAGGGAAUAUUUUGAAGUAGCUAAAAAGAAAGCUCAGUCCAAAAGAUAUUGAAAUUCUAUUACAAUCACCUAAGCUUGGUUGUACCGGAUACGAUAAUAUAAAAUUUUAUUUAUUUUUUGCAUACAUUUUUAAAUUUGUCCUGUAAAAAUUAUGUUGGCUAUGGUUAGUGAAUCUACCUGUCCUUAUAGAUGGUGGUCCUUAAAAAUAUCUACAUAUAAAUUUUCUAUGGGGCACCCAUUUUUUCUUCUACGUACAAAAUAAAGACAUCCAUACAAAAUUUCGAAAUUAAAAAGAAAAUAAUAAUAAAAUAUUUGGAGUCGUAACGAGGGUUUGAGAAAACUAUAUAUAUAUACAUAUAUAUUUUUUUAAAUCGCAAACAUUCGACACAAUUUUUACUUGAUACUUUAUAAAUUUGACAUAUUAUUUCAAUUUAUUCAUACAAAUUAAAAAAUUUGCUAGGUUAUAGUUGGCGAAAGUAAAAA
RNAcentral lists this unclassified non-coding RNA (8423 nucleotides) under Rhagoletis pomonella (apple maggot). RNAcentral describes it as "sodium/potassium-transporting ATPase subunit beta-1- interacting protein, transcript variant X3". The record is from RNAcentral. Lineage: Eukaryota; Metazoa; Arthropoda; Insecta; Diptera; Tephritidae.